GAUGAACGCUGGCGGCGUGCCUAAUACAUGCAAGUCGAGCGAACAGACGAGGAGCUUGCUCCUCUGACGUUAGCGGCGGACGGGUGAGGAACACGUGGAAAACCUACCUAUAAGACUGGGAUAACUUCGGGAAACCGGAGAUAAUACCGGAUAAUCUAUUGAACCGCAUGGUGCAAUAGUGAGAGGCGGAUGUGCUGUUACUUAUAGAUGGAUCCGCGCCGCAUUAGCUAGUUGGUAAGGUAACGGUUUACCAAUGCAACGAUGCGUAGCCGACCUGAGGGGGUGAUCGGCCACACUGGCACUGAGACUCGGUCCAGACUCCUACUGGAGGCAGCAGUAGGGAAUCUUCCGCAAUGGGCGAAAGCUUGACGGAGCAACGCCGCCUGAGUGAUGAAGGUCUUCGGAUUCUAAAUCUCUGUUAUUAGCGACGAACAAAUGUGUAAGUAACUAUGCACGUCUUGACGGUACCUAAUCAGAAAGCCACGGCUAACUACGUG
This 497-nucleotide ribosomal RNA is filed under the name uncultured bacterium. Its description in RNAcentral is "partial 16S ribosomal RNA". It matches the Rfam family "Bacterial small subunit ribosomal RNA", at positions 28 to 507 of the family's 1533-position model. The record is from RNAcentral.